Long non-coding RNA from Trichechus manatus latirostris (Florida manatee), 1490 nucleotides. RefSeq lists it as uncharacterized. NCBI's taxonomy places the organism in Eukaryota, Metazoa, Chordata, Mammalia, Sirenia, Trichechidae. The record is from RefSeq and is a predicted model, not a curated record. The transcript is spliced from 3 exons.
ACCUCACAGUGAAGGCUUGGAGGGCCGGGCGUCCAGGCAGGAAUUGAAGAUGGAGAAACUGAGGCUGGGAGAGGAGCUGGGAUGUGCCUCCGUGGGUCUGUGGAGAGGAGUCCCUGUAGAAAUGAAGUCUUGGCGGGGGGAAGUAACUUGCUCAUCAUCAUCUGCUGGUUCUCGCCCCAUCCUGAACUGUGCCCAGAACUCAUCCUGUGGUCUGCAAGGGGCUGCCGUGAUCCACUUAGUCGUGGAGAGGAAUCACUGUGAAACCUGGGUAUUUCCAGCCUGCCCUCUGGCCUCCUCUCCCCAUAGGUCUGAGGCCACCCCCCACUUCCACCUAGUCUACAGUAUAAAACUGGCCAUGAACAGUCACUGUUUUCUCUAGGGCCAGAGGUACCCAAGCCCAUUCACUGCUCUGACUUUGAGUAACAAGGCCAAAUCUCACUCACUGCAUGGACCUAUCUGCACGCCCUGACUUUUGCUGAUCACUCCGGACUGAACUCUUUGUCUGUGUCUCCCUGGCUAUUCGUCUUUCCUCACGAUCUCCAGCAACGCAGACUGAUAAAGCAGCAGCAUCAAGUAACAUGCUGAAAAAAGAGGGAGAGGGAAUAGGUGUGAGCGAUAUUGUUAUUUGCCUCUUGGAAGCAAAGACUGCAUCUUAGUCUUUGUAAGUCCCCACUCUGCCCAACAUAGACCUAUUCCAGCCUCAUGCCUUGAGCCUAGCAGACACAUAGAAAUACUAAAGCAUCAUAAAACUUUUUCUUGGUAGUGGGAAAAUUGUAAAUAACUAGGCUGGCCAUUGUCACAUCUCUCUGACCAUACAGAUGAGUAGCUCAGAACAUGGGCUUUGCAAAUACAAGGUCAGGCUCUGCCCUGACCAGUUGUACAAGAGUGACAAGUUACUUGAUCUCUCUAGGACUCAGUUUUUUCAUCUGUAAAAUGAGGAUAAUUAUACCUCACAGUGCUGAGCGAGGAAAGGAGAAGAAUGCUCAUGUGUGAAUCGUUGUUAACCCACCCAGCGGCUCCUCGAGAGAAAGACCUGGUGAUCUGCUCCCAUAAAGAUUACAGCCAAGAAAACCCUGUGGGGCAGCUCUACUCUGUCACAUGGGGUUGCUAUGAGUUGGAAUCGACUUGACCGCACAGAACAACAACAGGGUGGAAUCUGAAUUCAGCUAUAGAGCUUAGGUAUGGUUUUAAACUUCCAUAUGGCUCAAUUUUUUCAUGUAUAAAAUUAGGCUGAUAGUAGUACCUAUCAUAUAGUUUUGUUUUGUAAAUUAAUGAGUUAAUAAACAUCGAGGGCUAAGAAUAGUACCUGGCACAGAGCAAGUGCUCAGUAAGGAUGGCUAUUGUUUUUGGUGGAAUUGGAUGAGGACUGAAUGGUAAAAGUUCCUAGCACAAUGCCUAGUAGAGAGUCAGCACUCAGUAAAUGAUAGCUUUUAUUAUUCCUUCGUCUGUAAAAUGGAGUUAUAAUAGUUCCUCUUACAUAAGGGUGUUCU